AGUGAACGCUGGCGGUAGGCCUAACACAUGCAAGUCGAACGGCAGCACAGUAAUAGCUUGCUCUUACGAGUGGCGAGUGGCGGACGGGUGAGGAAUACAUCGGAAUCUACUUUUUCGUGGGGGAUCACGUAGGGAAACUUACGCUAAUACCGCAUACGCCCUACGGGUGAAAGCAGGGGAUCUUCGGACCUUGCGCGAUUGAAUUAGCCGAUGUCGGAUUAGCUAGUUGGCGGGGUAAAGGCCCACCAAGGCGACGAUCCGUAGCUGGUCUGAGAGGAUGAGCAGCCACACUGGAACUGAGACACGGUACAGACUCCUACGGGAGGCAGCAGUGGGGAAUAUUGGACAAUGGGCGCAAGCCUGAUCCAGCCAUACCGCGUGGGUGAAGAAGGCCUUCGGGUUGUAAAGCCCUUUUGUUGGGAAAGAAAAGCAGCAGGUUAAUACCCCGCUGUUCUGAAGGUACACAAAGAAUAAGCACCGGCUAAAUUCGUG
Molecule: ribosomal RNA, 492 nt
Filed under: uncultured bacterium
Lineage: Bacteria
Description: partial 16S ribosomal RNA
Rfam family: Bacterial small subunit ribosomal RNA
Source: RNAcentral